RNAcentral lists this ribosomal RNA (406 nucleotides) under uncultured bacterium. RNAcentral describes it as "partial 16S ribosomal RNA". It matches the Rfam family "Bacterial small subunit ribosomal RNA", at positions 30 to 526 of the family's 1533-position model. The record is from RNAcentral.
AUUGAACGCUGGCGGCAGGCCUAACACAUGCAAGUCGAACGAGUGGCGGAGGGGUGAGUAAUGUCUGGGAAACUGCCCGAUGGAGGGGGAGAACUACUGGAGACGGUAGCUAAAACCGCGUACCAUAUGAUGUGCCCACAUGGGAUAAGCUCGUAGGUGGGGUAACGGCUCACCUAGGCGACGAUCCCUAGCUGGUCUGAGAGGAUGACCAGCCACACUGUAACUGAGACACGGUCCAGACUCCUACGGGAGGCAGCAGUGGGGAAUAUUGCACAAUGGGCGCAAGCCUGAUGCAGCCAUGCCGCGUGUAUGAAGAAGGCCUUCGGGUUGUAAAGUACUUUCAGCGGGGAGGCGUUACCCGCAGAAGAAGCACCGGCUAACUCCGUGCCAGCAGCCGCGGUAAUAC